CAGUCGAGCGAAGCCUUCGGGUUUAGCGGCGGACGGGUGAGUAACGCGUGGGAAUAUGCCCUUUGGUACGGAACAGUCCCGGGAAACUGGGUUUAAUACCGUAUGUGGUCCUUCGUAGUGGAUACGGGGGACGAAAGAUUUAUCGCCAAAGGAUUAGCCCGCGUUGGAUUAGGUAGUUGGUGGGGUAACGGCCUACCAAGCCGACGAUCCAUAGCUGGUUUGAGAGGAUGAUCAGCCACACUGGGACUGAGACACGGCCCAGACUCCUACGGGAGGCAGCAGUGGGGAAUCUUAGACAAUGGGGGCAACCCUGAUCUAGCCAUGCCGCGUGAGUGAUGAAGGCCUUAGGGUUGUAAAGCUCUUUCAGCUGGGAAGAUAAUGACGGUACCAGCAGAAGAAGCCCCGGCUAACUCCGUGCCAGCAGCCGCGGUAAUACGGAGGGGGCUAGCGUUGUUCGGAAUUACUGGGCGUAAAGCGCAUGUAGGCGGACCAGAAAGUUGGGGGUGAAAUCCCGGGGCUCAACCCCGGAACGGCCUUCAAAACUAUUGGUCUGGAGUUCGAGAGAGGUGAGUGGAAUUCCGAGUGU
RNAcentral lists this ribosomal RNA (586 nucleotides) under uncultured bacterium. Its description in RNAcentral is "bacterial SSU rRNA". It matches the Rfam family "Bacterial small subunit ribosomal RNA", at positions 59 to 676 of the family's 1533-position model. The record is from RNAcentral.